Molecule: long non-coding RNA, 379 nt
Filed under: Nicotiana benthamiana
Lineage: Eukaryota; Viridiplantae; Streptophyta; Magnoliopsida; Solanales; Solanaceae
Description: long non-coding RNA (NBEN_LNC032640)
Source: RNAcentral
UCUGAAAUCCCUCUCUUCUCAAACUCUCUCGAAACCCUAACUUCUAUCAACAUCUUCAACCUCAAUUCCACUGGAAUCCAUGGACUCUCAAGCCAUGGAUGGCUUAAACUCAUCUCCAUGUGCUCUUAAUUACUUGGUAUUUGAAGGUUCGAGGUCUGACCUCUAUGGUGUCUGUUUAGAUCUUUGUCGAUUCAAGGUUUUAUGGCCAUCUCCGGCCCAACUAUGGCACAAUAUGGUGUUUUGAGCUUGGUUCUGACAUAUCUGAGUCAGAUUAGACCUUUUCCAAGCCUUUCUCAUUCUAGGGUUCUCCUGAACCCUAACUAUUCAAGGUUUCUCCAAUUUUUUCUUUAAUCUAUUACAUAUCUAUGCUUUACUUGGG